CGUCGUCAGUUUACCCUGUGAAGGACUUAUAGUAAGCAAAAUUGGUACAACCCUAAACGCCAGGUCGAGGUGUAGCGUAUGGAAGGGGAAGAAAUGGGCUACAUUCUCUACCAUAGAGAAAACGAAUGAUGUACUGAAAUACACGUCUGAAGGAGGAUUUAGCAGUAAGCAGGAAAUAGAGUGUCCCGCUGAAAUUGGCCCUGAAGCGCGCACACACCGCCCGUCACUCUCCCCAAACUAAUUGAAUUCAAUUAAAUAAAACCCCAUCACAGUAAAGGGGAGGCAAGUCGUAACAUGGUAAGUGUACCGGAAGGUGCACUUGGAAAAAC
Molecule: ribosomal RNA, 329 nt
Filed under: Totoaba macdonaldi
Lineage: Eukaryota; Metazoa; Chordata; Actinopteri; Sciaenidae
Description: partial 12S ribosomal RNA
Rfam family: Bacterial small subunit ribosomal RNA
Source: RNAcentral